GACAGAGGGUGCAAACGUUGCUCGGAAUUACUGGGCGUAAAGCGCGUGUAGGCGGUCUCGCGAGUCGGGUGUGAAAGCCCGGGGCUCAACCCCGGACGUGCAUUCGAUACUACGAGGCUUGAGUACUGUAGAGGAUGGCGGAAUUCCCGGUGUAGAGGUGAAAUUCGUAGAUAUCGGGAGGAACACCAGUGGCGAAGGCGGCCAUCUGGACAGUGACUGACGCUGAGACGCGAAAGCGUGGGUAGCAAACAGG
This 253-nucleotide ribosomal RNA is filed under the name uncultured bacterium. Its description in RNAcentral is "partial 16S ribosomal RNA". It matches the Rfam family "Bacterial small subunit ribosomal RNA", at positions 524 to 776 of the family's 1533-position model. The record is from RNAcentral.